CAGUAGCCGCGGGAAUACCGAGGGUGCGAGCGUUAAUCGGAUUUACUGGGCGUAAAGCGUGCGUAGGCGGCUUCUUAAGUCGGAUGUGAAAUCCCUGAGCUUAACUUAGGAAUUGCAUUCGAUACUGGGAAGCUAGAGUAUGGGAGAGGAUGGUAGAAUUCCAGGUGUAGCGGUGAAAUGCGUAGAGAUCUGGAGGAAUACCGAUGGCGAAGGCAGCCAUCUGGCCUAAUACUGACGCUGAGGAGCGAAAGCGUGGGGAGCGAACAGGAUUAGAUACCCGUGUAGUCCCUGUCUCUUAUAC
RNAcentral lists this ribosomal RNA (301 nucleotides) under uncultured bacterium. Its description in RNAcentral is "partial 16S ribosomal RNA". It matches the Rfam family "Bacterial small subunit ribosomal RNA", at positions 509 to 807 of the family's 1533-position model. The record is from RNAcentral.